RNAcentral lists this transfer RNA (243 nucleotides) under Triticum aestivum (bread wheat). RNAcentral's name for it is "partial small subunit ribosomal RNA". The stretch from base 170 to 242 matches the Rfam family "tRNA". Lineage: Eukaryota; Viridiplantae; Streptophyta; Magnoliopsida; Poales; Poaceae. The record is from RNAcentral.
AUGCUCCACUCAUUCUACGCCAAGCACCCAAUCACGGGAUCAGAAUCACAAUCGAGAAGACCAGGAAAAGAUAAGGAUAAAGAAUGUCAUAUAUCUCAAGAGCUAGAUCACUUCCCGAUGAACAAGUCAGAAUUGCCUCAACAAAAAUGGAUGGAAUUGGACCGAAAAAAGCUACUUAACUCGGUGGUUAGAGUAUUGCUUUCAUACGGCGGGAGUCAUUGGUUCAAACCCAAUAGUAGGUAA